GCUAGUUCAAAGAAAAAUAUUAUUUUAGUUAAAAAAUAGUAUAAAAUAUGUAGGAAUGAUUUUCAGUAUCAGACUUGGGUGGCAUGCACUUCGCAGUAUAUGUGUUUGCUGCUCUAGGUUAUCCACUUAUCCUCCAUGUUUUCAUUAAAUUACAAUCAUAGCACCCACUGCAAUAGUUUGGAUUGUUUGAUGGAGUAUUUUAUCAAGAAGAGUGGU
This 216-nucleotide unclassified non-coding RNA is filed under the name Hevea brasiliensis (rubber tree). The record is from RNAcentral. Lineage: Eukaryota; Viridiplantae; Streptophyta; Magnoliopsida; Malpighiales; Euphorbiaceae.